AAAGCACUUUCUGCAGCUCUCAAAUUGUCAGCUGCCAUAAAAGUGGUCAAUUCAAAAACCUUAAUAAAAGAAAAAUGAAAAAAAUGUGGAAGACAUAUUAACAGGCAAAGACAUUAAAUGAAAAGACUACAGACUGUAAACCAGAUUCAUAAACAUGCAAAAUGAUGAUGAAGAAUGGCCUAUAACACAUAAAAAGGUUAAAGUCCAUGAAAACAAGACUGGAUUCUGAUAAAGUAUUGAAGAGGAUAGAAAAUGAUUUUUUCUUUUUUUUUAAUUACCAACUUCCAAGUUAUGCACAUUCUUGAGCUGGAAGAACAGAGAAAGGAACCAAAUCAGAUUAUGAUGUAGAAGCAACUAUAUUCCUUCACUCACUACCAAAAUCAUUAUUUGACGAUAAAUCUUGGGUUCAACUUGACAAACCAGAGCUCCAGGGAAUAAAUCCACCAGCCAUGACCAAGAAACUAGGGAAAGAUAAAUAGAAAGGGAAAAAAAAUAGAAAGAGCAAAUAUAUUUCUCUAUUUCAAGAAAAUAUUCCUAAAGAAAAUUAGAAGUACCAAAAGCGUUGCAACUUAAGACACAAAUUUGAAAACAAUGGUGUAACACCAGAGAUUCAGAAAGCAUAACAAAUUUGAGUUUUGUGUGGAAUUCAGGAAGAAAAACAGAACAUGGAAUACCUGUCUGAUUUAUCAGUUCCAUUGGAUACAGGUCCCUGAGGAUAGAAAAUUUGAGUUUUUUUUUCCCUUCUUUUCCAAUUAAACUAAAGACCAAGUAUAAACCAACCAAACUGAAAGAAUGCAUAUUCUGAGCUUGUUGAGUCACUGUCUCUGCUUGCUAAUUCCCCACAAUACUCUUUUGGACAUUGAAAAGGCCAUAAGGUAACCUAAAUAUUAGAACAGAUUUAA
Molecule: unclassified non-coding RNA, 902 nt
Filed under: Hevea brasiliensis (rubber tree)
Lineage: Eukaryota; Viridiplantae; Streptophyta; Magnoliopsida; Malpighiales; Euphorbiaceae
Source: RNAcentral